RNAcentral lists this ribosomal RNA (484 nucleotides) under uncultured bacterium. RNAcentral describes it as "partial 16S ribosomal RNA". It matches the Rfam family "Bacterial small subunit ribosomal RNA", at positions 30 to 507 of the family's 1533-position model. The record is from RNAcentral.
AUUGAGCGCUGGCGGCAGGCCUAACACAUGCAAGUCGAGCGGAUGAAGGGAGCUUGCUCCUGGAUUCAGCGGCGGGCGGGUGAGUAAUGCCUAGGAAUCUGCCUGGUAGUGGGGGAUAACGUCCGGAAACGGGCGCUAAUACCGCAUACGUCCUGAGGGAGAAAGUGGGGGAUCUUCGGACCUCACGCUAUCAGAUGAGCCUAGGUCGGAUUAGCUAGUUGGUGGGGUAAAGGCCUACCAAGGCGACGAUCCGUAACUGGUCUGAGAGGAUGAUCAGUCACACUGGAACUGAGACACGGUCCAGACUCCUACGGGAGGCAGCAGUGGGGAAUAUUGGACAAUGGGCGGAAGCCUGAUCCAGCCAUGCCGCGUGUGUGAAGAAGGUCUUCGGAUUGUAAAGCACUUUAAGUUGGGAGGAAGGGCAGUAAGUUAAUACCUUGCUGUUUUGACGUUACCAACAGAAUAAGCACCGGCUAACUUCGUG